AGAGAGGUCAGCGUCACAAUGAGAAGGGAGGAGACCGAUCUUCCGGGAACAGAGGCCGCCUCAGGACUGGGCGAGGGGUGCGGUGGGGGGAGGGACAGUGACAUGCAGCACAGAUGUGCGGUGGAGGGAAGGUGCCGCCUCGCCAGCCGCCGCCAGGGUGAGUGAGAGUGGGGGCAGAUCGCCGUGGAGGGAUCUCCGCGUGGCGCCGGGACACCUGGUUCCUGAUGGAAGGAUCCUAAGUCCAUUCAAGGGUCGGAGGACCAUGGCCAUCCACAAAGGGGAAGGUGCUAACGGUCCUGGGGCUUCGAUCUCUCCCGGAGCCGCGGCGUGCAGACCGGUGACCGCCUGUGAAAGGCGUGUCCCCUGGCAGAGACCUCCGGUUAGGCUGGAUGGAGGAGGAAGGAGGGGGCCUAGCUCGGACUCCAGCACUCGGGGGGAGGGGGCAAGACCUGGGACCAGCGAGUGGCAUCUCGGGCCCACAGUUGUCGCCGAUGCCAGCUUCGUUGCCUCCUCUCCCUUUCCCCUAAAUCUCCAGAUUGGGUCCCCAAGCCAAAGACCUAAAGGCUUUGAAGGCAGAGCUCAAGAGAAUCCCGGGAAGAAAUUGUCCCCAGUGUAGUGGCCUGCCUGUGACUCCUGGCCCCGCCCUAGUCUGAUAUUAUCUCGUCCUUUCCGGGUACCAGGAAUCAAACUCGGGACUUUAUUCUUGCCAGGCAGGUGCAGCACCACUGAGCUAAAUCCCCAGCCCACCACUGGAUUUUCUACAGACAAUCCUGUUGUCUGCCAAUAAAGUUUUACUUCUUGUUUUCCAA
RNAcentral lists this long non-coding RNA (809 nucleotides) under Heterocephalus glaber (naked mole-rat). RNAcentral's name for it is "lncRNA (ENSHGLG00000037927.1)". Lineage: Eukaryota; Metazoa; Chordata; Mammalia; Rodentia; Bathyergidae. The record is from RNAcentral.